This 408-nucleotide ribosomal RNA is filed under the name uncultured bacterium. RNAcentral describes it as "partial 16S ribosomal RNA". It matches the Rfam family "Bacterial small subunit ribosomal RNA", at positions 28 to 526 of the family's 1533-position model. The record is from RNAcentral.
GACGAACGCUGGCGGCGUGCUUAACACAUGCAAGUCGAACGGAGUGGCGAACGGGUGAGUAACACGUGGGUGACCUGCCUUGCACUUCGGGAUAAGCUUGGGAAACUGGGUCUAAUACCGGAUAGUGCAAGAUGAGCUCGCGGCCUAUCAGCUUGUUGGUGGGGUAAUGGCCUACCAAGGCGUCGCCGGGUAGCCGGCCUGAGAGGGUGUACGGCCACAUUGGGACUUAGAUACGGCCCAGGCGCGUACGGGAGGCAACAGUGGGGAAGAUUGCACAAUGGGCAGAAGCCUGAUGCAGGGGCGCCGCGUGGGGAAUGAUGGCUUUCGGGUUGUAAACUCCUUUCGACGGAGGCGCGGUACCUGUAUAAGAAGCACCGGCUAACUACGUGCCAGCCGCCGCGGUAAUUC